UUUUGCGAUGAAAUCAUGCUCUAUGCUUCGAAACAGAAUGUUGGCGGAUCCAUCUUUCUUGUUCAAAAUCGGAACAGAGAUAAUUAUUGAUUCUUGUUGUGCUACAUUUGCGGAAAUUCAAAAGAGGGGUAAUGACUUCUGGGCAGAGUUUGAACUGUUUGUUGCUGACCUUUUGGUUGGUGUCGUGGUAAACGUUGCUUUGGUUGGCAUGCUGGCACCCUAUGUACGUAUUGGGCAACCAUCUGUAUCUAAAGGGUUAUUUGGACGGCUAUUACAUGCUUAUGGAGCUCUUCCUAGUAGUGUCUUUGAAGCCGAAAGGCCUGGAUGUAGAUUCUCUGUACAGCAGAGAAUUGCAACAUACUUCUACAAGGGAGUCCUUUAUGGAUCUGUUGGCUUUGCAUGUGGCCUUAUUGGCCAAGGAAUUGCAAAUCUCAUAAUGACUGCCAAGCGGAGCAUAAAAAAAUCA
Molecule: unclassified non-coding RNA, 466 nt
Filed under: Hevea brasiliensis (rubber tree)
Lineage: Eukaryota; Viridiplantae; Streptophyta; Magnoliopsida; Malpighiales; Euphorbiaceae
Source: RNAcentral